This 21-nucleotide non-coding RNA is filed under the name Rattus norvegicus (Norway rat). Lineage: Eukaryota; Metazoa; Chordata; Mammalia; Rodentia; Muridae. The record is from RNAcentral.
AAGAUGUAAUCGGUGUAGAGA